GGUUUGAUCCGGCUCAGAUUGAACGCUGGCGGGAUGCUUUACACAUGCAAGUCGAACGACAGCACGGACUUCGGUCUGGUGGCGAGUGGCGAACGGGUGAGUAAUGUAUCGGAACGUGCCUAGUAGCGGGGAUAACUACGCGAAAGGUAGCUAAUAUCGCAUACCCUUCGGGGGAGUGGGGACCUUCGGGUCGCACUAGAGCGGCCGAUAUCGGAUUAGCCAGCUGGUGGGGCAACGGCUCACCAAGGCGACGAUCCGCAGCUGGUUUGAGAGGACGACCAGCCACUGAUCAGAGACACGGCCCAGACUCUACGGGAGGCAGCAGUGGGGAAUUCUUGGAUACUGGGAAACCCUGAUCCAGCCAUCCGCGAUGAAGGCCUUCGAAGGAAGACUUUUGGCAGGAAAAGAAACGGCACGGAUAAUACCUGUGCAACUGACGGUACCUGCAGAAUAAGCACCGGCUAACUACGUGCCAGCAGCCGCGGUAAUACGUAGGGUGCAAGCGUUAAUCGGAAUUACUGGGCGCUAGCGUGCGGCAGGAAGGGUUCGGAAAGAAAGACGUAAAUCCCAGAGCUUAACUUCGGGAACUGCAUUUUUAACUACCGAGCUGGGAGCACAGAGGGAGGUGGAAUUCCGCGUGUAGCAGUGAAAUGCAGAUAUGCGGAGGAACACCGACGGCGAAGGCAGCCUCCUGGAUAACACUGACGCUCAUGCACGAAAAAGGCGGGAGCAAACAGGAUUAGAUACCCCAGUCCACGCUCUAAACGAUGUCAACUAGCUUUCGUUGGGCUUCCGGCCUUGGUAGCAGCUAACGCGUGAAGUUGACUGCCUGGGGAGUAUGGUCAAGAUUAAACUCAAAGCGGAAUUGACGGGGACCCGCGCAAGCGGUGGAUGAUGGGAUUGUCUGAUGCAAUGCCGAAAAACCUUACCUACCCUGAUACGUCUGGAAUCCCGAAGAGAUUUGGGGAGUGUUUGCAAGAGAACCGGGAAACACAGGUGCUGCAUGGCUGUCGUCAGCUCGUGUCGUGAGAUGUUGGGUUAAGUCCUGCAACGAGUGCAACCCUUUGUCAUUAGUUGCUACGAAAGGCACUCUACUGAGAUCAAGCCGGUGACAAACCGGAGGAAGGUGGAUGACGUCAAGUCCUCAUGGCCCUUAUGGGUAGGGCUUCACACGUCAUGGUAAUCGCCGGGAUGAGGCCAACCAUGAGUGGGAGCCAAUCCCAGAAAACCCGAUCGUAGUCCGAUCGCAGUCUGCAACUCGACUGCGUGAAGUCGGAAUCGCUAGUAAUCGCGGACGGGGCAUGUCGCGGGUGAAUACGUUCCCGGAUUCGCAAAGGACAACUGGCCCGUCACACCAUGGGAGUGGGUUUUACCAGAGAAGAGGCUCAAUCGUGUGAGGGGCGAUUACCACGGUAGGAUUCAUGACUGGGGUGAAGUCGUAACAAGGUGGU
Molecule: ribosomal RNA, 1451 nt
Filed under: uncultured Bordetella sp.
Lineage: Bacteria; Pseudomonadati; Pseudomonadota; Betaproteobacteria; Burkholderiales; Alcaligenaceae
Description: partial 16S-23S ribosomal RNA intergenic spacer
Rfam family: Bacterial small subunit ribosomal RNA
Source: RNAcentral